GCUUGCGCUGUGGGGCUGCCCGGGCUGCGCGGCGUCUGCAGGCGCCACCGCUGCCUCUUUCCGGCUGUGACCCUCCUCGCCGCCGCCGCUUGGCUGCGUCCUCCGACUCCCCGCGCCGCCGAGACCAGGCUCCCGCUCCGGUUGCGGCCGCACCGCCCUCCGCGGCCGCCCCCUGGGGAUCCAGCGAGCGCGGUCGUCCUUGGUGGAAGGAACCAUGAACUGGCAUCUCCCCCUCUUCCUCUUGGCCUCUGUGACGCUGCCUUCCAUCUGCUCCCACUUCAAUCCUCUGUCUCUCGAGGAACUAGGCUCCAACACGGGGAUCCAGGUUUUCAAUCAGAUUGUGAAGUCGAGGCCUCAUGACAACAUCGUGAUCUCUCCCCAUGGGAUUGCGUCGGUCCUGGGGAUGCUUCAGCUGGGGGCGGACGGCAGGACCAAGAAGCAGCUCGCCAUGGUGAUGAGAUACGGCGUAAAUGGUGCGUGUGCACAAUUGCUCACUGGCGGAGCCUUUGCCUGAGAGUCUUGUGACAGGAGGGUUUAUGGCUUGGUUUUUGCUGACAACCCCA
Molecule: long non-coding RNA, 563 nt
Filed under: Homo sapiens (human)
Lineage: Eukaryota; Metazoa; Chordata; Mammalia; Primates; Hominidae
Description: non-protein coding lnc-WDFY1-3:1
Source: RNAcentral